UGGGGAAUAUUGGGCAAUGGGCGAAAGCCUGACCCAGCAACGCCGCGUGAGGGAAGAAGGUCUUCGGAUUGUAAACCUUUGUCCUAUGGGACGAAACAAAUGACGGUACCAUAGGAGGAAGCUCCGGCUAACUACGUGCCAGCAGCCGCGGUAAUACGUAGGGAGCAAGCGUUGUCCGGAAUUACUGGGCGUAAAGGGUGCGUAGGUGGCCAUGUAAGUUAGGUGUGAAAGACCGGGGCUUAACCCCGGGGCGGCACUUAAAACUGUGUGGCUUGAGUACAGGAGAGGGAAGUGGAAUUCCUA
RNAcentral lists this ribosomal RNA (303 nucleotides) under uncultured bacterium. RNAcentral's name for it is "bacterial SSU rRNA". It matches the Rfam family "Bacterial small subunit ribosomal RNA", at positions 355 to 672 of the family's 1533-position model. The record is from RNAcentral.